Molecule: ribosomal RNA, 434 nt
Filed under: uncultured bacterium
Lineage: Bacteria
Description: partial 16S ribosomal RNA
Rfam family: Bacterial small subunit ribosomal RNA
Source: RNAcentral
AGCGAACGCUGGCGGCAGGCCUAACACAUGCAAGUCGAACGAACCUUUCGGGGUUAGUGGCGGACGGGUGAGUAACACGUGGGAACGUGCCUUUAGGUUCGGAAUAACUCAGGGACACUUGUGCUAAUACCGAAUGUGCCCUUCGGGGGAAAGAUUAAUCGCCUUUAGAGCGGCCCGCGUCUGAUUAGCUAGUUGGUUGAGGUAAUGGCUCACCAAGGCGACGAUCAGUAGCUGGUCUGAGAGGAUGAUCAGCCACAUUGGGACUGAGACACGGCCCAAACUCCUACGGGAGGCAGCAGUGGGGAAUCUUGCGCAAUGGGCGAAAGCCUGACGCAGCCAUGCCGCGUGAAUGAUGAAGGUCUUAGGAUUGUAAAAUUCUUUCACCGGGGACGAUAAUGACGGUACCCGGAGAAGAAGCCCCGGCUAACUUCGUG